Non-coding RNA from Anolis sagrei ordinatus, 863 nucleotides. NCBI's taxonomy places the organism in Eukaryota, Metazoa, Chordata, Lepidosauria, Squamata, Anolidae. The record is from RefSeq and is a predicted model, not a curated record.
AGAAAGGCACAAGGAGACUUCGGUGGGAGAAAGGCUUGAUCUAAAUGCUUAGUUUCAUGGUUGGCAGAAGCUUGUGUUAACAAUGGGAGCACACUCCGUCCCGUGGAUUUUAACCGCCGACCUUCCGGUCAGCAAGUUCAGUAGCUCAGCAGUUUACCCAUAACUAAUCUUCCAGCCAAUGUGAGGAAUAUAGGAGCUACAAUUCAACAAUGUCUGAAGAGCCACAUACAGGACAUCCUGCAACACAAUGAAUAUCUGAUAAAGCCUCAACCAAUUCAACAUAAUUUGUGGCAGCCACAAAAAUGAAGUUUCUGAUUAUACAUUGAGAAGGAGAAGAAAGAAUAAGAUGCACAGUGUCUUUUGAUCUGUACUGUUAAGGACCCAGGUCUUCUGCAGCAUAAUUACAACAAGAACAGGAGACACAACCAGAACAAUAGUGGAGACAAUGGCAAGAAGGUAGCUUUGAGUAUUAUCAAACAGAGAGUUCUUCCUAGAAAUUAUACACUAUGCACAUAUUCCAUUAUUUUGUCCUUGAUUAUCUUGAUGUGGUAAGGAUAUAGGUUGGAGAAGAACAAAACAAGAUUAUAGUCGGAGAACUGAAGCACUCCCUUUCCCCUGUUUAGCAACCUCAUCUGUACUGCCGUUUAAUGCAGUUUGACAAUGUAGAUUCAGAUAAUGCAGCUGCAGGGAGACAGCACUGGGUUCUGGUUGUUAUUUAAACUAUGUACACUGGAGGAUUAAAUUGUUCCUACUGAAGUAAAAUUACUGGGACACACUUCUGUAUAGAUUUGGUACUGUAAACAAACACAGAAGGGAAAGGUCUCAACCACUGAUGCACCGGCCAAAACUAACACAAAUGAUGU